UACAGGGGGGGCAAGCGUUGUUCGGAAUUACUGGGCGUAAAGGGUCUGUAGGUGGCUUGCUAAGUCAGACGUGAAAUCCCUCAGCUUAACUGGGGAACUGCGUCUGAUACUGGCAAGCUUGAGUGCAGGAGAGGAACGCGGAAUUCCAGGUGUAGCGGUGAAAUUCGUAGAUAUCAGGAGGAACACCGGUGGCGAAGGCGGCCACCUGGACGGCUACUGACGCUGAGACGCGAAAGCGUGGGGAGCAAACAGG
Molecule: ribosomal RNA, 253 nt
Filed under: uncultured bacterium
Lineage: Bacteria
Description: partial 16S ribosomal RNA
Rfam family: Bacterial small subunit ribosomal RNA
Source: RNAcentral